RNAcentral lists this small RNA (728 nucleotides) under Pongo abelii (Sumatran orangutan). Its description in RNAcentral is "processed transcript". Lineage: Eukaryota; Metazoa; Chordata; Mammalia; Primates; Hominidae. The record is from RNAcentral.
CCGCGACGUCACAGUGACGCUACAGUGCCUGGAGCUGGGCUCUUCUGUCUUCAGAGUGGUGCCUGGUAACCGCGACUUCCCCUCCAACUUGUGUGUGUUGCUGGCUGGAGAAGGGUAGUUGACAAACUCUGACCCAGCACGGUGUUUCUGUGGGUGAAAACUAGAAAACUAUAUCCGGGCGCCGAGGUGGAAGGAUCCUUUCAGGCCAGGAGUUAAAGAGCAGCCUAGGCAACAUGGCGCGACCCCGUCUCUGUAGUCCCACUUCAGCUUCCCAGAUACUUGAACCCCAAAGUUCAAGGCUGCAAUGACCUAUGAUCCCAUCACAGCACUCCAGCCUGCGAGACUGAGGGCCUGGGGAGCAGCCAGGCUUCAUGAGUUAAAUACAGAUCUGAACCAUACCAAGCUGGGAUUGGGGUACACACUCUCCUCCUCUGAAAACUAGCUAGGGGUUCGAACUUGGUGGGUACACACUCUCCUCCUCUGAAAACUAGCUAGGGGUUCGGACUUGGUGAGAGGGAGAGUGUGACAAAGCCAGACCAGACAAGGACUGAUCACCUGGAAAAACCUGCCAUCAAAGACCUUGACGAGUGCUAGGUGCGGUGGCUCAUGCCUGUAAUCCCAGCACUUUGGGAGGCUGAGACAGGUGGAUCACUUGAGGCCAGGAGUUCGAGUCCAGCCUGGGCAACAUGGCAAAACCGUAUCUCUACUAAAAAUAAAAAAAUUAGCUA